GGGCGUCUUGGCCUAGCGGAUUUCUACUCCGCGGGUUGCAGGUUCGAGCCCUGCCGGGAUUCGCCA
RNAcentral lists this transfer RNA (66 nucleotides) under Bradyrhizobium sp. ERR14. RNAcentral describes it as "tRNA-Ser". The record is from RNAcentral. Lineage: Bacteria; Pseudomonadati; Pseudomonadota; Alphaproteobacteria; Hyphomicrobiales; Nitrobacteraceae.